RNAcentral lists this ribosomal RNA (253 nucleotides) under uncultured bacterium. RNAcentral describes it as "partial 16S ribosomal RNA". It matches the Rfam family "Bacterial small subunit ribosomal RNA", at positions 524 to 776 of the family's 1533-position model. The record is from RNAcentral.
UACAGAGGUCUCAAGCGUUGUUCGGAUUCAUUGGGCGUAAAGGGUGUGUAGGUGGCGCCGUAAGUCGGGUGUGAAAUUUCGGAGCUUAACUCCGAAACUGCAUUCGAUACUGCGGUGCUUGAGGACUGGAGAGGAGACUGGAAUUCAUGGUGUAGCAGUGAAAUGCGUAGAGAUCGAGAGGAACACCAGUGGCGAAGGCGAGUCUCUGGACAUUUCCUAACGCUGAGGCACGAAAGCCAGGGGAGCAAACGGG